CCAAAAACCUAGCCUUAAUCUCCUCACUACCAACCCACUCGUAAGCUAAAAUAUUUUUCCAUUUAGUAAAGACGAUUAAAAAAUUGAUUAGAGCAAUAAAUCUGUACCGCAAGGGAAAGGUGAAAUAAUAAUGAAAUACUUGUAAGCACAAAACAGUAGAGAUUAAUCCUCGUACCUUUUGCAUCAUGGUUUAACCAGUCUCAUCAAGCAAAAAGAAUUACAGUUUGACCCCCCGAAACUAAGUGAGCUACUUUAAGACAGCUUAAUGAGCAAACCCAUCUCUGUUGCAAAAGAGUGGGAAGAUCUUAAAGUAGGAGCGAUAUACCUAACGAACUUAGCGAUAGCUGGUUAUUCAGGAAACGAAUCUUAGUUCAACCUAAAGUUACCUAAAUUUUUAUAAAUAAAACCUUGACUUUAGAGCUAAUCAAAUAAGUCAGAGCCUAUUUGAAACAGGAUACAGCCUCCCCCAGUGGGUAACAAUUAUACUUAUAAUUAAGUUGGCCUAAAAGCAGCCACCUUUAAAAAAGCGUCAAAGCUUAAUACCCAGACACUUAAUUAAUUUCUUAAUCUCCCCAGAACCCCUCAUUAAUACUGAAUGAUCUUAUACUUUUAUAAGACCCUUUAUGUUAAAACUAGUAACAAGAAGCUAACCAUCUCUUAAUAUGUGAGUUUACAUCAGAACAGACAUUCUACUGACUCAUAACAGCCAUAAACUUCAGUAACACCACCCUAAGAAAACCUUACUCAAACAACUGUUGACCUAACACAAGAACAUAAAAAGAAAGAUUAAAAGAAAAAGAAGGAACUCGGCAAAUUUUGAUUCCGCCUGUUUACCAAAAACAUCGCCUCCUGCUUACACAUAGGAGGUCCAGCCUGCCCAGUGACCUAGUUUAACGGCCGCGGUAUCCUAACCGUGCGAAGGUAGCGUAAUCAUCUGUUUUUUAAUUAAAGACCUGUAUCAAAGGCAUCACGAGAAUCACACUGUCUCCUUUUUCCAAUCAGUGAACCUAAUCUCCUCGUGAAAAAGCGAGAAUAACUAUACAAGACGAGAAGACCCUUUGGAGCUUUAGAUAAAGUAAUAUUUUGCCCUCAUCCCCUUGCAUCUAUACCAAAUGGCAUCUAUUUUACUAAUCUUCGGUUGGGGCAACCGCGGAGUAAAAAACACCCUCCAAGCUGAACGGAACUUUCCUUAACAAAAAGCCACAACUUUAUGUAUCAACAAAUUGACAUCAUGACCCAAUAUUUUGAUUAUCGAACCAAGUUACCCUAGGGAUAACAGCGCAAUCUACUUCAAGAGCCCAUAUCUACAAGUAGGCUUACGACCUCGAUGUUGGAUCAAGGUAUCCCAGUGGUGCAGCCGCUACUAAAGGUUCGUUUGUUCAACGAUUAAAACCUCACGCGAUCUGAGUUCAGACCGGAGUAAUCCAGGUCAGUUUCUAUCUGUAAAGAGCUAUUCCCAGUACGAAAGGACAGAAAUAGCGUGGUCAAUAUAACAUUCAAGCCAUACUUCCAACUUAUGAUGCCCACUCAAUAAGCCUACACCUAAAAAGGGCCCCCAAAAACAGAGAA
Molecule: ribosomal RNA, 1569 nt
Filed under: Eleutherodactylus wightmanae
Lineage: Eukaryota; Metazoa; Chordata; Amphibia; Anura; Eleutherodactylidae
Description: 16S ribosomal RNA
Rfam family: Bacterial large subunit ribosomal RNA
Source: RNAcentral